CGCUGGCGGCGUGCCUAAUACAUGCAAGUCGAACGGUCUUUUCUAUGGAAGCUUGCUUCCACUGAGAAGAUAGUGGCGAACGGGUGAGUAACACGUGGGUAACCUGCCCAUAAGAGGGGGAUAACAUCCGGAAACGGGUGCUAAUACCGCAUAGUUUUUCUUGAUCGCAUGAUUGAGAAAGGAAAGACGGCCUUUGUGCUGUCGCUUAUGGAUGGACCCGCGGCGUAUUAGUUAGUUGGUGAGGUAACGGCUCACCAAGACGAUGAUACGUAGCCGACCUGAGAGGGUGAUCGGCCACAUUGGGACUGAGACACGGCCCAAACUCCUACGGGAGGCAGCAGUAGGGAAUCUUCCGCAAUGGACGAAAGUCUGACGGAGCAACGCCGCGUGAGUGAAGAAAAGGUUUUCGGAUCGUAAAACUCUGUUGUCAGAGAAGAACAAGUUGGAGAGUAACUGCUCCAGCCUUGACGGUAUCUGACCAGAAAGCCACGGCUAACUACGUGCCAGCCGCAGC
This 514-nucleotide ribosomal RNA is filed under the name uncultured bacterium. RNAcentral describes it as "bacterial SSU rRNA". It matches the Rfam family "Bacterial small subunit ribosomal RNA", at positions 34 to 518 of the family's 1533-position model. The record is from RNAcentral.